UAACCUACUAAAGGACUGCCGAAGACAGUAGGUGCUUGAAAGAGCGUAAGAACACAUUUUAUGCGGACGCCUACCGAGGAAAGAUCGAUACUAAAGUAUGACUUAUCAACCUCUAUGUCUUUGGAUAUAGAGGUUUUUUUACAUUUAU
Non-coding RNA from Dorea longicatena CAG:42, 148 nucleotides. The record is from Rfam. NCBI's taxonomy places the organism in Bacteria, Bacillati, Bacillota, Clostridia, Lachnospirales, Lachnospiraceae.